RNAcentral lists this long non-coding RNA (880 nucleotides) under Equus caballus (horse). RNAcentral describes it as "lncRNA (ENSECAG00000049264.1)". The record is from RNAcentral. Lineage: Eukaryota; Metazoa; Chordata; Mammalia; Perissodactyla; Equidae.
UCUAGGCUUGGGUUUCCUUCUCAGAUGGCUGAAAAAGCAGCCCUCAUUCCAGUUUGCCAUCAUGGGCCUAUGAUGGCCACCAUGGUGGUCUCCUCAAAGAUGCUGGCUGUCAGUACCAGGUGUCAAGACUUCCGGAGCUGCUAGAAAAUCAAGAUAUGGUGUCGAAAGAGCAGCACUAGAGCCUGUGCCGAGUUCAGGAGUGACUCUGCUUCUGGACACCAGCUCCCAGGUGAUGAGAUGCUGCUACACACUGGACUACACUUUGAGUAGCGCUUGUCAAGGAGGAAUGAUGGGAUAAAAAAGAGGAAUCCAGAGCGGAAACAGGAAGAUGCGGCAGGAUAUGAGCCUCAGCUCCUGGAAGGCGCUAUUGGAAAAGGGAGCAGACCCUCUCAGGUGGCUGGCCGUCCAGCUUCUGCUACGUCUGUGAGGUGGCUCAGUUUCGUCUGUCUGCAAAGUCCUGCCUUCCUUCAAGCUGAUGCCUCCCUCCUGUUGGUCCAGAGGAAAGACAGGACCAGUGGCUGGAGCAGGGACUGCAUGCCCCUGCUGCCCAGGACCCUCGGGGGAGCCCGGGAGAGAGGACCUGGAGCCUGACAGCUCUCCCCACUGAGCCUCAGGCCUGCGCUUGGGAGCACGGCUGAAAGUCAUCGUGCUGCUCUUCUGUCGUACAGGACUGGGAGACUCAAAAGAGGAAGCAAAGGGACCAUGACGCUCUCACAAGUGAAAUGAGGAAAAAUAAUGAAUUUUUAACAAAGCUAAAUUUAUUCAGUUUAAAGGACUCUCCUUUAUGCUUAGAUUAAAACUUCCUGUUUUUUUAACUAUCAUUUAUUAAAUUAAAGUAAUUGAUAGUCGUAUGUGUGUAUAUGAGUAUGUACGUAGUUUU